RNAcentral lists this ribosomal RNA (341 nucleotides) under uncultured Actinomycetes bacterium. Its description in RNAcentral is "bacterial SSU rRNA". It matches the Rfam family "Bacterial small subunit ribosomal RNA", at positions 28 to 351 of the family's 1533-position model. The record is from RNAcentral. Lineage: Bacteria; Bacillati; Actinomycetota; Actinomycetes.
GACGAACGCUGGCGGCGUGCUUAACACAUGCAAGUCGAACGGGAUCCAUCGCCGUAGCUUGCUACAUGAUGGAUCUAGUGGCGAACGGGUGAGUAACACGUGGGCAAUCUGCCCCGAAGACCGGGAUAACACGGGGAAACCCGUGCUAAUACCGGAUAUCCUGCCUUUCCCGCAUGGCAUCGGCAGAAAAAGGUUGUUUUACUUCCGCUUCGGGAUGAGCCCGCGGCCCAUUAGCUUGUCGGUGAGGUAACGGCUCACCGAGGCGACGAUGGGUAGCCGGCCUGAGAGGGUGACCGGCCACACUGGGACUGAGAUACGGCCCAGACUCCUACGGGAGGCAG